RNAcentral lists this ribosomal RNA (427 nucleotides) under Verrucomicrobiota bacterium. RNAcentral describes it as "Verrucomicrobia bacterium partial 16S ribosomal RNA". It matches the Rfam family "Bacterial small subunit ribosomal RNA", at positions 355 to 776 of the family's 1533-position model. Lineage: Bacteria; Pseudomonadati; Verrucomicrobiota. The record is from RNAcentral.
UGGGGAAUAUUGGACAAUGGGGGCAACCCUGAUCCAGCCAUGCCGCGUGUCUGAAGAAGGCCUUCGGGUCGUAAAGGACUUUUGCCGGGGAAGAAAAGGCGGGGCGGACAAUGCCCCGCCGUUGACCGCCCGGAGAAUAAGCGCCGGCUAACCACGUGCCAGCAGCCGCGGUAAUACGUGGGGCGCGAGCGUUAAUCGGAAUGACUGGGCGUAAAGGGCGCGCAGGCGGUUUGUCAAGCCGGACGUGAAAUCCCGGGGCUCAACCCCGGAAUGGCGUUUGGAACUGGCAGGCUGGAGCGAGGCAGAGGAGGGUGGAAUUCCGCGUGUAGCGGUGGAAUGCGUAGAGAUGCGGAAGAACACCGAUGGCGAAGGCAGCCCUCUGGGCCGCAGCUGACGCUGAGGCGCGAAAGCGUGGGGAGCGAACAGG